UCACUUUGACAGUAGAAACUGACAGAAGAGCGGGAAAUUGGGCAAAAAACAGAAAUCCGAAUUUUCAGAAGUCCAAUUCCAACUCAAUCACUACCAACAUAAAACCAAGAGCCACGAAAGAGCUUCUCAUCCAAAAAAUUCCAAUUGCAAUUAAAUUCAACAUCAAAAGAGGAGUCAAACACCAAAUCAAAAAGGGAUUUUGAAACCCUAGAUGGAUGAAAUUCUUCAGCUAUAAAAGGAGAGCCUCCAAACCAGCAGAGCAUCUUCUGAUCAUCUCUCAGCUUCAGAAACUCUCCAGAAACGCAGCAAUCUCUUCUUUCUUUUUUUUCUUUUGUGAUUUUGUCCACCAUGAGUGGCUAAACACUUUCCUUUCUAGUUGAAGUUGGAAAAUUCAG
RNAcentral lists this long non-coding RNA (395 nucleotides) under Manihot esculenta (cassava). RNAcentral describes it as "long non-coding RNA (MESC_LNC009546)". Lineage: Eukaryota; Viridiplantae; Streptophyta; Magnoliopsida; Malpighiales; Euphorbiaceae. The record is from RNAcentral.